Molecule: ribosomal RNA, 556 nt
Filed under: uncultured archaeon
Lineage: Archaea
Description: bacterial SSU rRNA
Rfam family: Archaeal small subunit ribosomal RNA
Source: RNAcentral
ACGGGGUGCAGCAGGCGCGAAACCUUUACACUGCACGCCAGUGGAUAGGGGGACACCGAGUGCGUAGGCAUAGAGCCUACGCUUUUGUGUACCGUAAGUGGUACACGAAUAAGGGCUGGGCAAGACCGGUGCCAGCCGCCGCGGUAACACCGGCAGCCCGAGUGAUGGCCGAUAUUAUUGGGCCUAAAGCGUCCGUAGCUGGCUGCGCAAGUCCGUCGGGAAAUCCACUCGCCCAACGAGUGGGCGUCCGACGGAAACUGCACAGCUUGGGACCGGAAGGCUCGAAGGGUACGUUCGGGGUAGGAGUGAAAUCCCAUAAUCCCGCACGGACCACCGAUGGCGAAAGACUUCGAGAAAACGGAUCCGACAGUGAGGGACGAAAGCCAGGGUCUCCAACCGGAUUAGAUACCCGGGUAGUCCUGGCCGUAAACAAUGUUCGCUAGGUAUGACACAGACUACGCGUCUCUGUUGUGCCGUAGGUAAGCCGAGAAGCGAACCGCCUGGGAAAGUACGUCUGCAAGGAUGAAACUUAAAGGAAUUGGCGGGGGAGCACGGG